This 465-nucleotide ribosomal RNA is filed under the name uncultured bacterium. RNAcentral describes it as "partial 16S ribosomal RNA". It matches the Rfam family "Bacterial small subunit ribosomal RNA", at positions 28 to 507 of the family's 1533-position model. The record is from RNAcentral.
GACGAACGCUGGCGGCGUGCUUAACACAUGCAAGUCGAACGGAAAGGCCCCCUUGUGGGGUACUCGAGUGGCGAACGGGUGAGUAACACGUGAGUAACCUACCCUUGACUUUGGGAUAACUUCAGGAAACUGGGGCUAAUACCGGAUAGGAGCUCCUGCUGCAUGGUGGGGGUUGGAAAGUUUCGGCGGUUGGGGCUGGACUCGCGGCUUAUCAGCUUGUUGGUGGGGUAGUGGCUCACCAAGGCUUUGACGGGUAGCCGGCCUGAGAGGGUGACCGGCCACAUUGGGACUGAGAUACGGCCCAGACUCCUACGGGGGGCAGCAGUGGGGAAUAUUGCACAAUGGGCGGAAGCCUGAUGCAGCAACGCCGCGUGCGGGAUGACGGCCUUCGGGUUGUAAACCGCUUUCGCCUGUGACGAAGCGUGAGUGACGGUAAUGGGUAAAGAAGCACCGGCUAACUACGUG